UAGGGAAUCUUCGGCAAUGGACGAAAGUCUGACCGAGCAACGCCGCGUGAGUGAAGAAGGUUUUCGGAUCGUAAAACUCUGUUGGUAGAGAAGAACGUUGGUGAGAGUGGAAAGCUCAUCAAGUGACGGUAACUACCCAGAAAGGGACGGCUAACUACGUGCCAGCAGCCGCGGUAAUACGUAGGUCCCGAGCGUUGUCCGGAUUUAUUGGGCGUAAAGCGAGCGCAGGUGGUUUAUUAAGUCUGGUGUAAAAGGCAGUGGCUCAACCAUUGUAUGCAUUGGAAACUGGUAGACUUGAGUGCAGGAGAGGAGAGUGGAAUUCCAUGUGUAGCGGUGAAAUGCGUAGAUAU
RNAcentral lists this ribosomal RNA (350 nucleotides) under uncultured bacterium. RNAcentral describes it as "bacterial SSU rRNA". It matches the Rfam family "Bacterial small subunit ribosomal RNA", at positions 355 to 697 of the family's 1533-position model. The record is from RNAcentral.